GACGAACUGUGCAAACGUUAUUCGGAAUCACUGGGCUUGAAGAGUGCGUAGGCGGUUUUGUAAGUAGGGUGUGAAAGCCCCCGGCUCAACCGGGGAAUUGCGCCUUAAACUGCAAGGCUGGAGUGAGGUAGGGGUGUGUGGAACUUCUAGUGGAGCGGUGAAAUGUGUUGAUAUUAGAAGGAACGCCGGUGGCGAAAGCGACACACUGGACCUUGUCUGACGCUGAGGCACGAAAGCCAGGGGAGCAAACGGG
This 253-nucleotide ribosomal RNA is filed under the name uncultured bacterium. RNAcentral describes it as "partial 16S ribosomal RNA". It matches the Rfam family "Bacterial small subunit ribosomal RNA", at positions 524 to 776 of the family's 1533-position model. The record is from RNAcentral.